GUCGGUUGUGUGGAAUGGAAACAUAGCUAUUACUGCUCAGAUGAGGCCUUUUUAAACAUGCUUCUUGUCAUUAUUUUCUAUGGAGAAGUUUUCUCAGGGGAUCAGCUCUUUUCCUCUGUCAAAGCCAGACACCCUGUUUUUUUUCUUCUAUGAAUGUGUCUCGAGUAAGAGUUCCUCUUUUUCUAUGCAGCGAUGUAAAGAUCGUCCUCAAUGAAAAGGAGCAUCCAGAAUUUAAUGCAGUUUACCAUCAGGCUCCUCACCACCUAAACGGAGUACUGCUAUUGCCAUGUUUGGUUGUCCAGAAGAUUACAAGAGAUACAGCUCUAACCAACUGGAUGUUAUCGCUUUCACGUCAUUACUGGCAAGAUGGCACCUUCUCCUUCACUGGAAAUCGACAGACUCCGUCUAGUACUCAACGGCUCAGGAGGUUAUGUCAUCCGUUAGUGCUCAUUCUAAAAAACUUAGUCUUGUAAUGUUGGAAUGUGACAGAUUAAUGUGGGAUUGUUACAGAUUCUAAAAUAUUGUAAAUACAUAGUUUAAAGGGUCAUACAAUAAGAAAAUAAAGAAAUCCAGCUGUUGCUUGUU
This is a long non-coding RNA of Acanthochromis polyacanthus (spiny chromis), 585 nucleotides long. RefSeq lists it as uncharacterized. The record is from RefSeq and is a predicted model, not a curated record. NCBI's taxonomy places the organism in Eukaryota, Metazoa, Chordata, Actinopteri, Pomacentridae. The transcript has 2 exons.